AGAACGAACGCUGGCGGCAGGCUUAACACAUGCAAGUCGAACGGUUGUAGCAAUACAGCAGUGGCAGACGGGAGAGUAACACGUGGGAACCUUCCUAGGGGUACGGAACAACUCAGGGAAACUUGAGCUAAUACCGUAUACGUCCGUGAGGAGAAAGAUUUAUCGCCCCUAGACGGGCCCGCGUAGGAUUAGGUAGUUGGUGAGGUAACGGCUCACCAAGCCUACGAUCCUUAGCUGAUCUGAGAGGAUGAUCAGCCACACUGGGACUGAGACACGGCCCAGACUCCUACGGGAGGCAGCAGUGGGGAAUCUUGGACAAUGGGCGCAAGCCUGAUCCAGCCAUGCCGCGUGAGUGAAGAAGGCCUUCGGUUGUAAAGGCUCUUUUACCGAGGACGAUAAAUGAACGGUACCUGGAGAAGUAACGCCCCGGACAAACGUUCGUCGCCAGCACGCCGAC
RNAcentral lists this ribosomal RNA (457 nucleotides) under uncultured soil bacterium. Its description in RNAcentral is "bacterial SSU rRNA". It matches the Rfam family "Bacterial small subunit ribosomal RNA", at positions 26 to 522 of the family's 1533-position model. The record is from RNAcentral.